UACGAAGGGGGCUAGCGUUGCUCGGAAUCACUGGGCGUAAAGCGCACGUAGGCGGCUUUCUAAGUCAGGGGUGAAAUCCUGGAGCUCAACUCCAGAACUGCCUUUGAUACUGGGAAGCUCGAGUCCGGAAGAGGUGAGUGGAACUGCGAGUGUAGAGGUGAAAUUCGUAGAUAUUCGCAAGGACACCAGUGGCGAAGGCGGCUCACUGGUCCGGUACUGACGCUGAGGUGCGAAAGCGUGGGGAGCAAACAGG
Molecule: ribosomal RNA, 253 nt
Filed under: uncultured bacterium
Lineage: Bacteria
Description: partial 16S ribosomal RNA
Rfam family: Bacterial small subunit ribosomal RNA
Source: RNAcentral